CGGGGUGUAGCUCAGUUGGCUAGAGCGCGUGGUUUGGGACCAUGAGGCCGUAGGUUCAAGUCCUAUCACCCCGACCA
Molecule: transfer RNA, 77 nt
Filed under: Candidatus Magasanikiibacteriota bacterium
Lineage: Bacteria; Candidatus Magasanikiibacteriota
Description: Candidatus Magasanikbacteria bacterium tRNA-Pro
Rfam family: tRNA
About the family: Transfer RNA (tRNA) molecules are approximately 80 nucleotides in length. Their secondary structure includes four short double-helical elements and three loops (D, anti-codon, and T loops). Further hydrogen bonds mediate the characteristic L-shaped molecular structure. tRNAs have two regions of fundamental functional importance: the anti-codon, which is responsible for specific mRNA codon recognition, and the 3' end, to which the tRNAs corresponding amino acid is attached (by aminoacyl-tRNA synthetases). tRNAs cope with the degeneracy of the genetic code in two manners: having more than one tRNA (with a specific anti-codon) for a particular amino acid; and 'wobble' base-pairing, i.e. permitting non-standard base-pairing at the 3rd anti-codon position.
Source: RNAcentral